CUCAUCCAUGUCAUAGCUUUGUA
RNAcentral lists this non-coding RNA (23 nucleotides) under Arabidopsis thaliana (thale cress). The record is from RNAcentral. Lineage: Eukaryota; Viridiplantae; Streptophyta; Magnoliopsida; Brassicales; Brassicaceae.